Molecule: transfer RNA, 76 nt
Filed under: Syntrophales bacterium
Lineage: Bacteria; Pseudomonadati; Thermodesulfobacteriota; Syntrophia; Syntrophales
Description: tRNA-Lys
Rfam family: tRNA
About the family: Transfer RNA (tRNA) molecules are approximately 80 nucleotides in length. Their secondary structure includes four short double-helical elements and three loops (D, anti-codon, and T loops).
Source: RNAcentral
GGGCCCUUAGCUCAGCUGGUAGAGCAACUGACUCUUAAUCAGUAGGUUGUCGGUUCGAGCCCGACAGGGCCCACCA